Capsicum annuum is the source of this 1550-nucleotide long non-coding RNA. RefSeq lists it as uncharacterized. The transcript is spliced from 4 exons. Lineage: Eukaryota; Viridiplantae; Streptophyta; Magnoliopsida; Solanales; Solanaceae. The record is from RefSeq and is a predicted model, not a curated record.
GCUGAGUUCUCUCUUAUUUCUCUUCCAUUUCACAUAAGGGUAGGAGCUUCUGGGAGUGGGAGUAAAAGUCUAAGAAAAAUAAGUGUGGGGAUAUUGGGUGGCAGGAUCUGCUAUUUUCUUAACAGUGGCUAGCUUCUUCAGUUUUACUCGUUAUUUCCUUUGGCUCCUUUGGACAGUUAACAGAGAAUAUUAAAUGAAAAUCUCAGGACAGUCUUUAAAAAGUUUAAAUGGGUGAAUUCUAAAAUAUAGAUAUAGGAAAAUAUUCUACUAUCCAAUUCGUCGAGUUGGUCUGCAUUUUAUUUCAAAUUAAAUAUGUCCCUCAUUUUCGGUACUGGCCUUUACUAACAACCUACCGAUCUAUCAUUAAGCAGUUUUUAUCUCAAUAGUCUUCAUGUUUUUUGGUCAGGGACUGUGAGAUUUAACCUUGAUCCAUUCAAUGAGCACAAUGAUGCGGACCUUUGGGAAUCUCUAGGACGGGCACACCUAAAGGAAGUUAUCAGGAGGAACUCUUUGGGUCUUGAUGCCAAGGUCUCGGAAACCGGAGAAAAUUUCAGUGUUGGACAAAGACAACUUUUAAGUCUUGCUCAAGCAUUGCUUCGCCGGUCAAAGAUUCUUGUUCUUGAUGAGGCAACUGCUGCUGUUGAUGUUAGAACUGAUGAUCUUAUUAAGAAGACCAUACGCGAAGAAUUUAAGUCAUGCACCAUGCUGAUCAUUGCUCACCGUUUGAACUCUUAUCAUUGACUGUGACAGAAUUCUUCUGCUUGAUUCUGGUCAGGUACUUGAAUGUGAUAGUCCAGAAGUAUUAUUACAAAAUGAGGGAAGUGCUUUUUCUAGGAUGGUUCAGAGUACAGGAGCUGCAAAUGCUCAAUACUUACAAGCUUAGUCUUUGGAGGGGAAGAGUGAAUCAGUAUAGCGAGGGACAAACAACUAGAUGGGCCACGGAGGUGGCUUGCCUCUUCAUGUUGGCCUGCUGCAACACAGUUUGCACUAGCUGUUACGCUUACUUCAUCCCGAAAUGAUCUUGUGCAGUUAGAAAUUGAGGAUGAGUAUAAUAUCCUGAAGAAAACAAAGAAUGCGGUAAUCACUCUGCAGGGAGUAUUAGAGGGUAAGCACGACAAAGACAUCCAAGAGACCCUGGACCAGUACCAGGUUUCCAGAGACAGAAGGUGGUCUUCAUUUUACAAGAUGGUUGAAGGUCUCGCAAUGAUGAGUAAGAUGGCACCCGAUAGACCCCAUCAAGCGGAUUCUGAGUUUGAAGAUAAAGCAAUCAACUGGGAUCGUGCUGAGAUGUAGAAGUCUUCCAGUCUAGCAGAUCAUAGAAUGGGAGGUUUUACUUGUUUUCAUGAUUCAUGGAUAUUGUAUUGCCCUCUUAACCCCAGUUGUAACAUUGAUUGUUUUUCCCAUGAAAUUUUUUAGCUGUGCCUCUUCUAAAGAUGAGGAGGAUUAGAUUAUGAUUUUAAAAAUUUGAGAAAUGUGAUUGUGAAUGCAAAAUGGUCUAAGAGUGGCUUUUUGUUAUAAGAGAUUUCCUGGUUCUGUUUUUAGAUCCUAUC